Molecule: ribosomal RNA, 1456 nt
Filed under: Kocuria sp.
Lineage: Bacteria; Bacillati; Actinomycetota; Actinomycetes; Micrococcales; Micrococcaceae
Description: bacterial SSU rRNA
Rfam family: Bacterial small subunit ribosomal RNA
Source: RNAcentral
CGUACGAUGAUGCCCAGCUUGCUGGGCGGAUUAGUGGCGAACGGGUGAGUAAUACGUGAGUAACCUGCCCUUGACUCUGGGAUAAGCCUGGGAAACUGGGGUUCUAAUACUGGGAAUACUACCUUCUUGCGCCGCAUGGUGGGGUGGUGGAAAAGGGUUUUUACUGGGUUUUGGAUGGGGCUCACCGGCCUAUUCAGCUUUGUUGGUGGGGGUAAUGGCUUCACCCAAGGCGAACGACGGGUAGCCGGCCCUGAGAGGGUGACCGGCCCACACUGGGACUGAGACACGGCCCCAGACUCCUACGGGAGGCAGCAGUGGGGAAUAUUGCACAAUGGGCGGAAGCCUGAUGCAGCGACGCCGCGUGAGGGAUGACGGCCUUUCGGGUUGUAAACCUUCUUUCAGUAGGGAAGAAGCGAGAGUGACGGUACCUGCAUAAGAAGCGCCGGCUAACUACGUGCCAGCAGCCGCGGUAAUACGUAGGGCGCAAGCGUUGUCCGGAAUUAUUGGGCGUAAAGAGCUCGUAGGCGGUUUGUCGCGUCUGCUGUGAAAGCCCGGGGCUCAACCCCGGGUCUGCAGUGGGUACGGGCAGACUAGAGUGCAGUAGGGGAGACUGGAAUUCCUGGUGUAGCGGUGAAAUGCGCAGAUAUCAGGAGGAACACCGAUGGCGAAGGCAGGUCUCUGGGCUGUUACUGACGCUGAGGAGCGAAAGCAUGGGGAGCGAACAGGAUUAGAUACCCUGGUAGUCCAUGCCGUAAACGUUGGGCACUAGGUGUGGGGGACAUUCCACGUUUUCCGCGCCGUAGCUAACGCAUUAAGUGCCCCGCCUGGGGAGUACGGCCGCAAGGCUAAAACUCAAAGGAAUUGACGGAGGGCCCGCACAAGCGGCGGGAGCAUGCGGGAUUAAUUCGAUGCAACGCGAAGAAACCUUACCAAGGCUUGGACAUUCACCGGGACCGCCCCCAAAGAUGGGGGUUUCCCUUCGGGGGCUGGUUGGACAGGUUGGUGCAUGGGUUGUCGUCCAGCUCCGUGUUCGUGAAAAUGUUGGGAGUUAAGUUCCCGGCAACCCAAGCGCCAACCCUUCGUUUCUAUGUUUGCCAGCCACGUUGAUUGGUUGGGGGACUCCUUAAGGAGAAUUGCCGGGGGUUCAACCUCCGGAGGAAAGGUGGGGGGAUGGACGGUCCAAAUCCAUCCAUGCCCCCCUUUAUGUCCUUGGGGGCUUUCACGCCAUGCCUACAAAUGGGCCCGGGUACCAAAGGUUGCGAUACUGUGAGGUGGAGCUAAUCCCAAAAAGCCGGUCUCAGUUCGGAUUGAGGUCUGCAACUCGACCUCAUGAAGUCGGAGUCGCUAGUAAUCGCAGAUCAGCAACGCUGCGGUGAAUACGUUCCCGGGCCUUGUACACACCGCCCGUCAAGUCACGAAAGUUGGUAACACCCGAAGCCGGUGGCCUAACCCCUUG